CAAACCCACCCCUUUUGGCAGGUACUGAAAUACAGAAACACCCAAUUCAGGCUGAAGAAAAGCUCAAUUACUUGGGAGAGGAGCACCCGCGGCCGGGCCACGAGAGGGAGCGAGAUGUUCACAGCUCCGGGCUGGGAUGAGAUUCCCUCAGCGCAGGGCUGGAUUCCUGCACUGCUCCCCCAGUGCCAGUGAGGAAUUCGAGCACAGAAACACUCCAGACCAGCAAGAACAGAAUAUGGAAGAUCUGAAUAUAGAAUAUAGAAGAAUAUAGAAGAAUAUGGAAGAAUAUAGAAGAAUAUGGAAGAAUAUAGAAGACUUGUGUGCAAGAUUUGGCCCUGUCCCAGCAGGGAAUGAUGAGGAUGUGUCACAGCAGCAAAAGGGCUCUGGAAAGGAGCAAUAAGGUGUCUGCUCUGGGUGACACCUGGUGCCACCUUAUUGGGGACAAUAUUGCAGUAAACUGGAUUUUCUGAAAAGUGACAAGUCUAAAACAAGCUAAAAAUCAUUGAGGUUUUCUUGAAUAUUUGCAUUAACUAAUUAUUUAUUGGA
Molecule: long non-coding RNA, 546 nt
Organism: Zonotrichia leucophrys gambelii
Lineage: Eukaryota; Metazoa; Chordata; Aves; Passeriformes; Passerellidae
Exons: 3
Source: RefSeq, a predicted model, not a curated record